RNAcentral lists this ribosomal RNA (253 nucleotides) under uncultured bacterium. Its description in RNAcentral is "partial 16S ribosomal RNA". It matches the Rfam family "Bacterial small subunit ribosomal RNA", at positions 524 to 776 of the family's 1533-position model. The record is from RNAcentral.
GACGUAGGGGGCCAGCGUUGUUCGGAAUUACUGGGUGUAAAGGGUUCGUAGGCGGUGCGGCAAGUUGGGAGUGAAAUCUCUGGGCUUAACCCAGAGGCUGCUUCCAAAACUGCUGUGCUUGAGUGUGGGAGAGGCGCGUGGAAUUGCAGGUGUAGCGGUGAAAUGCGUAGAUAUCAGGAGGAACACCCAUGGCGAAGGCAGCUAACUGGGCAUUAUCUGACGCUGAGGCGCGAAAGCGUGGGUAGCAAACAGG